AACCUGCCUCUCACAGGGGAGUAACGCAGCGAAAGUUGCACUAAUACCGCAUGAGACCACGCUUCUGACAUGGGAGAGGGGUCAAAGGAGCAAUCCGGUGAGAGAUGGGCUCGCGUCUGAUUAGCUGGUUGGUGAGGUAACGGCCCACCAAGGCGACGAUCAGUAGCCGACCUGAGAGGGUGAUCGGCCACAUUGGAACUGAGAGACGGUCCAA
Molecule: ribosomal RNA, 214 nt
Filed under: uncultured bacterium
Lineage: Bacteria
Description: partial 16S ribosomal RNA
Rfam family: Bacterial small subunit ribosomal RNA
Source: RNAcentral